GAUGAACGCUGGCGGCGUGCUUAAUACAUGCAAGUCGAGCGGACAGACGAGGAGUUUGUUCCUUUCACGUUAGCCGCGCACGGGUGAGAAACACGUGGAUAACCUCCUUAAAAGUCGGGGAUAACUUCGGGAAACGGGAGAAAACACGAGAGAAUAUCUUGAACCGUAGUGUUCAAUAGUGAAUGACGGCGUUGCGGUCACUACUAGAUGGAUCCCCGCCGUUUUGGGUAGUUGGUACGUUAACGGCCUACCAAGGCAACGAUGCGUAGCCGACUUGACAGGGUGGUCGGCCACACUGGAACGGGAACGGGGUCCAGACGCCUGCGGGAGGCAGCAGUAGGGAAUGUGCCGCAAUGGGCGAAAGCCUGACGGAGCAACGCCGCGUGAGUUAUGACGGUCUUCGGAUCGUGAAACUCUGUUAUUAGGGAAGAACAACUGUGUAAGUAACUAUGCACGUCUUGACGGUAACUAAUCAGAAAGCCACGGCUAACUACGUG
Molecule: ribosomal RNA, 497 nt
Filed under: uncultured bacterium
Lineage: Bacteria
Description: partial 16S ribosomal RNA
Rfam family: Bacterial small subunit ribosomal RNA
Source: RNAcentral